GACGAACGCUGGCGGCGUGCCUAAUACAUGCAAGUCGAACGCAGUGGGGACGGGUGAGUAACACGUGGGUAACCUCCCAUCAGUGGGGAUAACACUUGGAAACAGGUGCUAAACCGAUACUGAUGGAUGGACCCGGGGUUCAUUAGCUAGUUGGUGAGGUAACGGCUCACCAAGGCCACGAUGCAUAGCCGACCGGAGAGGGGGAUCGGCCACACUGGGACUGAGACACGGCCCAGACUCCUACGGGAGGCAGCGGUAGGGAAUCUUCGGCAAGGGACGAAAGUCUGAACCAGCAACGCCGGGUGAAGGAAGACGGUCUUCGGAUGGUAAACUUCUUUAGACAGGGACGCGGUACCUGUAGAAUAAGCCACGGCUAACUACGUGCCAGCAGCCGCGGUAAUUC
RNAcentral lists this ribosomal RNA (403 nucleotides) under uncultured bacterium. Its description in RNAcentral is "partial 16S ribosomal RNA". It matches the Rfam family "Bacterial small subunit ribosomal RNA", at positions 28 to 526 of the family's 1533-position model. The record is from RNAcentral.